UUGCGACUACUUUGUAACUACUUUGCGACGACAAAGCGACUACCAAAAACAUAAACACAUAUUAGUCGGUAAUUAAUGACGAAACUUGGGCGUCGUUAAGUAGUCGAUAAUUAGCAACUAUUUAACGACGAAUAGUUCAGUUUUUAGGGAUAGUCGCAAAUCAGUCUCAAUUUGCGACUACAUGGCGACUGUAUUUUUAGUCAGGAAAUGUAGUUGUAACGUAGUCACAAAUCAGCGACCAUUUUGCCACGUUUUUCUGUCAUUACUGUUGUGUCGCAAAGUAGUCUGUCAAUAAAGUUAAAAAAUUUGAAGUGGUAAAAGUCUCACAUCGUUAAAAGAGAAUGAAUGUCAAGUUCAACAUGUUUUAGAAAUAGCAAACAGUUGAUGUCGGUCUAAUAGGUCAGAUUGAGGAAAUCGAAGUUGAUAGUUUGGUAGAGGGUAUUCAACCUUGC
This 452-nucleotide long non-coding RNA is filed under the name Eutrema salsugineum. RNAcentral describes it as "long non-coding RNA (ESAL_LNC001882)". The record is from RNAcentral. Lineage: Eukaryota; Viridiplantae; Streptophyta; Magnoliopsida; Brassicales; Brassicaceae.